GACGAACGCUGGCGGCGUGCCUAACACAUGCAAGUCGAACGGAAAGGCCCUGCUUUUGUGGGGUGCUCGAGUGGCGAACGGGUGAGUAACACGUGAGUAACCUGCACUUGACUUUGGGAUAACAUCAGGAAACUGGGGCUAAUAUCGGAUAGGAGCUCCUGCUCCAUGGUGGGGGUUGGAAAGUUUCGGCGGUUGGGGAUGGACUAGCGGCUUAUCAGCCUCUUGGUGGGGUAGUGGCUUUCCAAGGAUAUGAUGGGUAGCCGGCCUGAGAGUGCGACCCGGUACAUUGGGCUUCGGGUGGCACCCAGAGGGCAACGGCAGGCAUGAGUGGAGGAUAGUGCAAAAAGGGCCGAGGGAUGGUGGAGGAACGCCGCGUGGGGGAUGACGGCCUUCGGGUUGUAAACCGCGUUCGCGUAUGACGGAGCGUGAGGAACGGAAAUGAGUAGAGAGGCACCGGCUAACUACGU
This 467-nucleotide ribosomal RNA is filed under the name uncultured bacterium. Its description in RNAcentral is "partial 16S ribosomal RNA". It matches the Rfam family "Bacterial small subunit ribosomal RNA", at positions 28 to 506 of the family's 1533-position model. The record is from RNAcentral.